RNAcentral lists this ribosomal RNA (462 nucleotides) under uncultured bacterium. RNAcentral describes it as "partial 16S ribosomal RNA". It matches the Rfam family "Bacterial small subunit ribosomal RNA", at positions 28 to 507 of the family's 1533-position model. The record is from RNAcentral.
GACGAACGCUGGCGGCGUGCUUAACACAUGCAAGUCGAACGGAAAGGCCCUUCGGGGUGCUCGAGUGGCGAACGGGGGAGGAAAACGUGGGUGAUCGGCCCUGCACUUUGGGAUAAGCCUGGGAAACUGGGUCUAAUACUGAAUAGGACCACGCGCUUCAUGGUGUGUGGUGGAAAGCUUUUGCGGUGUGGGAUGGGCCGGCGGCCUAUCAGCUUGUUGGUGUGGUAAGGGCCGACCAAGGCGACGACGGGUAGCAUGGCUGAGAGGGUGAGCGGCCACACUGGACCUGGAAUACGGCACAGACUCCUACGGUAGGCGGCGGUGGGGAAUAUUGCACAGUGGGCGCAAGCCUAACGCAGCGACGCCGCGUGAGGGAUGACGGCAAUCGCGUUGUAAACCUCUUUCAAUAGGGACGAAGCGCAAGUGACGGUACCUAUAGAAGAAGCACCGGCCAACUACGUG